Molecule: RNA transcript, 3594 nt
Organism: Scylla paramamosain (green mud crab)
Lineage: Eukaryota; Metazoa; Arthropoda; Malacostraca; Decapoda; Portunidae
Exons: 5
Source: RefSeq, a predicted model, not a curated record
UUAUUAUUAUUAUUAUUAUUAUUAUUAUUAUUAUUAUUAAAAUAGUACAGAUACAACAUAUCAGACAAACACAAAAUGCAAAAUCAACUGAAGAGAAACAAAACAGCACAUUACAAGCCUAAUUUUAUGCUGCUUUCUUGAAAUAACUCAUCAUUUGAAUUUCUAACUACUUUGUUCCCUCCGAUGACGCUGCAGCCGACCCUGGGUGUGGUGAAGUACAGUGACAUGCGGCGGCUGACCAUCGCUGAUCUGCAGGGACUCAUCGAGGGUGCCUACUCCAACAUGGGGAUGGGGCACCGCUUCCUGUGCCACGUGGAGUGGACACACUUCCUCCUCUUUGUGGUAGACAUCAACAGCUUCCGGCUGUCACCCAAACACCCAUACUGUUCACCCACCGAGAAUGUCAUGCUGGUCAACAGGGAGUUGGAGCUGUAUUCACCUGACCUGCUGAGUAAGCCAGCACUCCUUGUGGUGAAUAAGAUGGACUCCCCCAAUGCUGAGUCUUGCCUGCAGGAACUCCUUCACAACUUUAAGAGGAUGGAGGAUGAGUACAUGGGAACAUAAGAAUACAAGGGAAGCUGCAAGAAUCUGUCAACCCACAAUUGGCAUUUCCUGUUAGAAAUGCCUUCUGAUUUCUACCUAUCAUCCUCAUACCUAAAUUUAUUUGGUCUUCUUUUAAAAGCUCCAUAUUGACAGGACAUUAACAGCCAUAAGAAAAUAGGGGAAGCUGCAGGCAGCCAUCAGUCCUUAACAUGACAAUCCCUGUAUGAAACAUGCCUGCCUAUUUCCACCCAUCUCCCCCAUCCACAAGUUUGUUUAGUUUUCUUUUUAAAGCUUCCUAACGACUCAGCACUAACAACCAGAUUACUGAGUCUAUUCUAUUCAUCAACCACUAUAUUUGAAAACUUUUUCCUUUGUAUCUCAUUUAAAGCUAGCUUUAUCAAGCUUGAACCCACUAUUUCUUGUCCUAUCCUGAUCACUGAACCUAAGGAUUUUGCUCAUGUCAUCCUUGUUAUAUCCCCUAAGUAAAGACCUGAGGGAGGAAGAGAGUAGAGACAUCUUUUAUCAUUAUCUUUUCAUCUCGUUUACUCCUUCAUUCCUGUUGGUUUAAUAUUCUGUGUUUGAAGCACCAAGCCAACUGAUUAUGUGGGACUGAGAUUGUUAUAGUUAUUUUAUACUAUAUUAGGUGAAUAGCCUCUCCAUUAGGGGCUGAUAGGACUAAGAGUGUGAAUGAUGUGUGUAUGAGUGGAUGGUGCUUUGUCUGGGCCACCCUGUGUGGGAUUGCCAACCUGGUAUAUGGACAGAUGGACAGAUAGAUACAUGGGUCAAUAAUUUGGAGCUUGGAUAUGAAGAAAAUGUAAAACUAGUGGAGACGUUUCAAAGGACACAGGGAAAAAAGCUGCAGUGUUUUAGCCAUGUGAAGAGAAGAAAAGAGUCAUAUGUCAGGAGAAGUGUGAUGGAGAUAGAGGUGCAAGGCAGGAGAGCAAGAGGAAAACUAAACCUUAUAUGGAUAGACUGUGUAAGGGAGGACUUGAGACAGAAACAAUUGUCAAAGGAAAAUAUAUAUGACUAUGCUUGGAGGAGAGCUGGCAAGAACAAUGACUCUAUAGAGACUAGGGAAAAGAUAUCAAGAAGAAGAAAUUAUGGAGGUGUAAGAAUUAAUAAGGGAAUUAUCGAGGUGUUUGGGCUGUGGGAGGCUGUGGAAGACAGUGCCUGAAAGUCACCAAAUUCAGGGUAAAUCUUCCACCAUGGUCCAGGAAGUCAUCAGCCAGUAGAGAUGAGUCCAGAGCCUGACAUACCACCACCUAGUAGGAGGGAAUGUAUUUAUAAAUUUCUUGAAUAGAGUAUAGUUGUCUUACAUGGUUAAAUGUCUUGUAGGGAUUUAAAUCCUGCUAUAUUUACAGUCAGUGCAGGCCGAGGUGAUCUGGAAGUCACACCCUGAGCCUCUUUCCCUUCUAAUGUGGCUGCUGACUGGUGCUCUCAUAAUGUUCUUGACACUUCCUCAAAUAUAUUUAAGAUAUUUUCUAUCACCAUAUUAAUUAAACUUUCCCCAAACAGUUUUUUUUUUUUCAUAUCAACAGGAAAACGGAGUAUUAAACCUUCUGGAAACAAAAAUGUGUCAGCAAUAAUUCAAGUCAAGGAUAACAUUGAAAAUGAAACAUAAUAUUGAAAAUGAAAACUGGAAUCAUGAUGCCUCUUGUGGUUGAGUCGUCCCAGUAGUAGUGCAGUGACUCUCCUUCACUAGGAAUUACUAAAGACUAGUGUUUCUUAUUGUUACUGAAAAAGGACAGAAUAUAUUUUCUAUCUUAGUUUAAGUAAAUUAAAUAGAUGAAAGAAUUUUUGCCUUUGUCUUUUCACGAAAUAAGCCUCACUGGCUUUUGAAGUGAGAGUAAUGAGCUCAUUAUAUUUAGUGAAGCACUCUCCAAAGUAAAGUCCUCUCUUUUGUAAAGAAUUUCCUGUAUGUAUGGAAUGAUAUCACAGCCUUGUGUAACACAUUCAUUACCUGGUCAACCUACUGUGGAAGGGAACAUUGCUACCAUUCCAGUAUUUUGUAAAGUGUGUUCAUGUUCAUCUUUGAUUCCUGCUCUUACAUGUGAAUCUUUCCUGUAAAUUGAAAAUGUUUUUAAUGCCUUUCUGCACUAAGUGACGUUUCACAUGAAGACAUUUUGAUGCAUGCAUUCUGUUCAUAAGAGGGUCUCAAGUGACAGUCAUAGUAAUAAUCACUGGACUGAUGACUGACGUCUGGGAAUGUCAAAAUGGUGACUAAGAAUGUCAGACUAUUAACUAUUGACUGGAGACUGGUGACUAAGAAUUUCAGAGUAGACUGGUGACUUAGGAUGUCAUUUAGGAUAGUGAGUAAUGAUGAGGAUCUUGAUUGAUGAGUGGUGCCUGAGGAGUGUGACUGGUGACUGGUGAUUGAAGGUGCGUCAUGGGUGACUUUAUGUAUUUGACUGGUAAAAUGGAAUGUCUCUUAGGAUAAUGAGUACUGACCAUGAUUUUUGACUGGUGAGUGGUGGUGUUCCUGGGUGGUGUUAACAACUGGUGUUCCUCACAGACUAUGUGUUGUGUUGCUCCUGUGGUGCCAAACUCACAGAGAACUCAUGGGAUAACUUUGUAAACAUCUCCAUUCCACUGUCUGAGGCAUCCCAGCUGGUGACCAUCCUGGGACACCCCCACCUCAUGGUCCAGACCCUCAGGAACCCUGCUGACCUUGCUUUUGACUUGGUGACUGUCAGGAGGUCAGGCUGCUCAGGAGUGGGAGAGGAUAUUUGAACCAGAAAGCAAAGCCAGCACAACCCACUUCAAAGCUUCCUUGGAGGGUUUCUAUGGACUCAUUCUAGAGAAACUGGUCACUGAGAAAUUGCAGUGUCCUAAACACAGAGGCAGUUAGUCUCCCUAUUGAAGCAGGCUGAAGAUAAACACUAGAGGCAACAAGAUUCAAUCUACUUUUACAUUUCAGACUCCUCAUUGGCCUUUCCAAGCACCAGCAGUAUUAGCACAAUGGCACAAGAUGGGGAGGACAUGGUGCCUCUCGACCCCGAGCUUCUGGCUGUGCUGGAGGAGGAAGCAGCCUCUCGCUAUACUGAGGAGGAU